GAGGCGCUGCGUUCUGUGUCCAGGACCGUUAAACUGUCAGUUGUGCAGCUGGGCUUCCGUAGCUCAUUCCCCAGCAGGACCUGGGAAUAUGGCGGCCGCUCCAUUGGUGAUCUCUGAGUAAGGUAGACUGCCCUGGAAUUUCCAGAUGAACUCCAGGAAUGGGAUCCUAGAAGUGCUGCUGAGGUUUCUCUACUGUGAGCAAGAAAUGAAGGAGUCUCGGCUACAGUGGCUGCCUGUGACACAGUACAUGGACCAGUAAUCCUUCAAGUCUUCAUCCCUCCAUGCAUCGUGGCCAAUUCUCUGCUUUGAAAAUACUUCAGUCUCCAGUAUGCGAGUCUCACUGUCCCACAAAUAAUUCUGGCAAGAAGGACUCCUCUGUGUGUACCUGAACAUCUUCGAAGCCACCACACUGAUCCUCCUGUGAACACAGAAAGAGCCAGGAUCCUGGGUUUGUUCAUCUUCUCAGACUCAUCCUGUGGUGCCCAGCUUAGAUUGUUCAUAUGGAGUCGGACAGGGCUCAGCAACCCCCCCCCAAAAAAAAAAUAAAGACUUGUUAGCCCUUCUCAACUGCGAGGUCUGGCAGGGCCCGUUAC
This is a long non-coding RNA of Fukomys damarensis (Damara mole-rat), 593 nucleotides long. RefSeq lists it as uncharacterized. The record is from RefSeq and is a predicted model, not a curated record. The transcript is spliced from 4 exons. NCBI's taxonomy places the organism in Eukaryota, Metazoa, Chordata, Mammalia, Rodentia, Bathyergidae.